ACAAGGUAACAUUACUGGUUUGUUUUUGUUCUGAUUGUCUUGUGCAAACAUAAAAUGCAAUGUCUGGUGAUGCAGGUGGAAUAAUUCUUCUGACUGGGAAACAAGUGGCUUUUCUGAUGACCUCGAAUGGAAGAAAAUCGUGGAGCCUAUCAUGAGACUGUAUACAGAAACUACUGAUGGAUCGAACAUAGAAGCGAAGGAGAGUGCACUAGUGUGGCAUCACCAAGAUGCUGACCCUGACUUUGGUUCUUGCCAAGCCAAGGAACUACUGGACCAUCUAGAAACUGUUCUUGUAAAUGAACCCGUUGUGGUUCACAGAGGUCACCAAAUCGUUGAAGUUAAGCCUCAGGUAAUACCCUAAUCUUCUUUUAAUAGAGAGAAAGCAUCUCCAAACCUUAUAUAGUUCUUAUAUCUGGAUUCAUGACUACCAUUUAAUGCUUCUCCCAACGUUCCUCAGGAGGCGUUUCCACAGGGUUAAGCUCGGUUUCUUCCUCCACAGCCCAUUCCCUUCUUCCGAAAUUUAUCGAACCUUACCUGUCCGAGAGGAGCUACUAAGGGGGCUCCUAAACUGUGAUUUAAUUGGUUUCCACACCUUUGAUUACGCACGGCAUUUCUUGUCAUGCUGCUGUAGAAUGCUUGGGUUGGAGUAUGAAUCUAAAAGAGGGCAUAUUGCUCUUGACUACUUGGGCCGUACAGUUUUCCUCAAGAUUCUUCCUAUAGGUAUUCAAAUGGGAAGGCUCGAAUCCGUUCUGAAUCUUCCUGCUACAGCUGAGAAACUGAAAGAGAUCCAAGAAAAGUACCGCGGUAAGAAGGUGAUACUCGGUGUUGAUGACAUGGAUAUAUUCAAAGGUCUGAGUCUAAAGAUUUUGGCCUUUGAACAUCUCCUUCAGCAAUAUCCUAGCAUGCAAGGGAAAUUAGUUCUCAUUCAGAUUGUCAACCCAGCUAGAGGAUCAGGUAAAGACGUUCAAGAGGCAAAGAAAGAGACGUAUUACACUGUCAAUAGAAUCAACGAGCGUUAUGGUUUGCCUGGUUAUGAGCCAGUGGUUCUGAUCGAUCGUCCUGUUCCUCGGUUUGAGAAGUCUGCCUAUUAUGCCAUGGCGGAAUGCUGUAUAGUCAACGCAGUGAGGGAUGGGAUGAACUUGGUUCCAUACAAGUACACUGUUUGUCGACAGGGAACUCCUGAAAUGGAUAAAUCUCUGGGACUAAGUGAAGAUUCUCCUCGCACAAGCACGCUUGUUCUGUCUGAGUUCAUUGGUUGCUCUCCGUCUCUAAGUGGCGCUAUCAGGGUCAACCCUUGGGACGUUGAUGCGGUGGCUGAUUCAAUGUACUCCGCUAUCACCAUGUCUGAUUUUGAGAAGCAGCUACGCCACAAGAAACACUACCACUACAUUAGUACACACGACGUGGCGUACUGGUCACGCAGCUUUACCCAGGAUUUGGAGAGGGCAUGUCGUGAUCAUUACAGUAAACGAUGCUGGGGAGUUGGUUGGGGUUUAGGUUUUAGGCUCAUCGCUCUCUCUCCUAAUUUCAGAAGACUAUCCAUUGAGCAAACUGUCAGUGCUUAUAGAAGAUCGAGCAAGAGAGCAAUAUUUCUUGAUUAUGACGGUACUUUAGUUCCGGAGGCCUCAAUUGUAAAGGAACCAAGUGCUGAUGUGAUCUCUGCGCUGAAGACACUGUGUAGUGAUCCUGAUAACACUGUAUUUGUUGUUAGCGGGAGGGGGAAAGUUUCUUUAAGCGAGUGGCUUGCGCCGUGUGAGAAUCUUGGAAUAGCGGCUGAACAUGGUUACUUCACAAGGUAACAUUACUGGUUUGUUUUUGUUCUGAUUGUCUUGUGCAAACAUAAAAUGCAAUGUCUGGUGAUGCAGGUGGAAUAAUUCUUCUGACUGGGAAACAAGUGGCUUUUCUGAUGACCUCGAAUGGAAGAAAAUCGUGGAGCCUAUCAUGAGACUGUAUACAGAAACUACUGAUGGAUCGAACAUAGAAGCGAAGGAGAGUGCACUAGUGUGGCAUCACCAAGAUGCUGACCCUGA
Molecule: long non-coding RNA, 2030 nt
Filed under: Brassica napus (rape)
Lineage: Eukaryota; Viridiplantae; Streptophyta; Magnoliopsida; Brassicales; Brassicaceae
Description: long non-coding RNA (BNAP_LNC003177)
Source: RNAcentral